Long non-coding RNA from Nerophis ophidion (straightnose pipefish), 930 nucleotides. RefSeq lists it as uncharacterized. The transcript is spliced from 3 exons. Lineage: Eukaryota; Metazoa; Chordata; Actinopteri; Syngnathiformes; Syngnathidae. The record is from RefSeq and is a predicted model, not a curated record.
AAUCCUGUGGCCGGGUCCGUGGAGUACGACAGCGGGCUGGAGAAGCUGGCCGCGGCCGAGGCGGAGAAAGCAGCCGAUCCAGGAUACGGACUGAAGGCGGAGCCGGAGGACGACCUCGCCAGGUCUUCAUUCCGCGGGGCGGCCAGAGCCGAGGCCCCGUAAGCCGGACACGAAUACAGAGCCAGCGAGCCCGGCGGCUGAUAGAGGGUCAUGGGGAGUGCUGGAGCCUCGCUCAGCUGCAUUCGGGCGGAAGGUGUACAGGCGUGUCAAACUCCUUUUCAUUGAGGGCCUUGGCGCAGUUAUGGCUGACUUCAGACGGCCGUUUGUAAGAGUUGACAUAAAAAAAUUUAAAAAAUAAAAUCAUUGUAAAUUCACAGCAAAUUAUUGGCUGAUAAUUGCAUUACUUUCCCUGUAACAGUUACAGUAACUUACUGUAAAAAAAAAAUACUGUAACUGCAGUGCUGUGAUUUUAUUGUUAAUUGUAAUACCAUUGGAACAAAAUAUUGUAACGACAUAAUCAUAAUUCUGGGGUUAAUGACAACAAAAUUACAACUAAAUGCUGUUACUUCCCAAUUGUAUCAUUGUGGUUAAUUGCACUCUCAGUUUAACAGCAUUCCACCAUCAGUGAACUGAAUAAGAACAAAAGAUAGAACGGCUUUCACAAACAGUUGGAAUUUUCAGUAGUUUGCUGUGAUAUUACAGAUGACUUUGAUAACAGUAUUUUAUUUUGAAAUUACAGUAAAUUGUUUGUUGUAAUGUUACAGUAUUUUACUGUAAAAAAACAACAACAACUGUUAAAUGUUGACAAUGUAAAUGUAUCAUCACCUCGUAUUAUUACACAACGGCCUAUACAAUUGAUUUUUUUUUUUUUUUUACAUACAAAAUGAGUAAUAACUUGUUCUGAAAUCAUAAGGAACGGUGACAAGCAGA